AUUCGACCAUUUGGACAGACCCCUCCGUUAUUGAGUACAUGAGGUAAACUCAAAAUCAUGUUUAUGAGUGUCCCGGGUUGGAUAUAAAAGGGAGAUGAAUAAACCAGCUGUCUGAUGUUUAUAUCUGAUAACUAACAAGACAGGUGUUAUCAUUUCCUCUAAAAGAGAAGUUUCCAAGUUUUACAAGUGGCGACGAGGAUAGAAUAGAUAGUGAAAAAUUUUGUUUGCUUUGUUCGGCAGAGGUCAGGUGCAACUGUUUACCGACCAUUUUGGCCGCAACUACAUUCAAUUUGGAGUGCAGAAAGAAGGUUUUGGAGUUGUUCGAGGAGAUUGCUGGUGAAUUUGAAAGGCUGUUGUUGGUUGCUGUUGUUUGUUGCUGUGGAUGAUCGGUUUUGCAGAUGGUUCUUAUCCGAUAGUGAGCUGGGUGAAUUCUGUUUCGUGCCGGGUUUUUGAUUGAUCAACAGUACAACCGUCAAGGUCUCCCUUGGUGGCCGUCUUUUAUCGUCACACCGGCAACAGAUUCGUUUGGUGGAAAAGCCCGAUCGGAAAACUACAAUAGUUUUGUUUGAUCGCAAUGCACCAGUCCGUCCAACCAGUACAGCUACCGCUCGACAAGCAGAAUCUGACGAAGAAGACUUUUACGGUUUUGCAUUGGAAUCGCAAAUUUUCCAUGCGCCCGUUUCGAUGUCGAUUCCAACAACAACAACGUCAAGUCAUGCAGCUCCAACUUCGUCAUCAACAUCGAGAAAACGAAGCAGUUCUGAAAAAGAAAUUUGGAAAUCGAAGCGAGUCAAAAUAUCGAAUAAGCGAAAUGAUUAUUAUUAUUAUUAAGAAACAAAUAGUAUUAAGCCAUUGUGAAUUAUAAAAACUUAAAGGGGGAAGAACUGUAGCAUUCGACCAUUUGGACAGACCCCUCCGUUAUUGAGUACAUGAGGUAAACUCAAAAUCAUGUUUAUGAGUGUCCCGGGUUGGAUAUAAAAGGGAGAUGAAUAAACCAGCUGUCUGAUGUUUAUAUCUGAUAACUAACAA
Armigeres subalbatus is the source of this 1029-nucleotide long non-coding RNA. RefSeq lists it as uncharacterized. The transcript has 3 exons. Lineage: Eukaryota; Metazoa; Arthropoda; Insecta; Diptera; Culicidae. The record is from RefSeq and is a predicted model, not a curated record.